Long non-coding RNA from Glossina fuscipes, 948 nucleotides. RefSeq lists it as uncharacterized. NCBI's taxonomy places the organism in Eukaryota, Metazoa, Arthropoda, Insecta, Diptera, Glossinidae. The transcript has 3 exons. The record is from RefSeq and is a predicted model, not a curated record.
AAAAAAUACCCCAUCUUGUGGGGUGGGGUAUAGGAAACAAGAAGAAAGACAAGGGUGGCAGGACGUAGUUGACGAACUUAACGAGAAGCUUGGUCAUGCAGCUCUCGAAGUCACACUUAGGCGCAAGCUGGACUUGCUUAGGUAUAAAUUGAGGAAGUUAGAUAAUAGACAGAGCACUGUUCGCAAAUCAGUCUGGUGGUUUGCCGUGCAGUUCGGCAUGUUGCGCGCUGUGCAGACUCUAACGAAACAACUGAUAGCAGACGGGCAAAACACAGAACACACAAUACAAACAGUGGCAGCGACAUUAAUGAAGACUUUGUAGGAUUUGACGAAUACGAAACAGGCGAGAUAGGUAGAGUAAUAGUAUUAGGUAGGUAGUAGUAAUUAGAAGAACUGAUGAAGGUGCGAGAUAGGAUAGAGAAUAGCAUAGACGUAGCAAGCCGCCCUGGUUUUGGACCCUGCUUAGCACCCUCUACAUCGGUUCAGACAGCGCUAAUAGGGGGAAAUCGGCGCCUCAAGACGGAAGUGUAAGCCAUGCAGAAGGAAGUCCAACGGAUUAAAGAUCAACGGCCAGAAAUAGCGGAUUAAGUUGAUAGCAAUAGCGAGACGGAGGCGCCUAAAAAAGUCGUAAGCCAUUGAUAUCAACACACCGCCCAACACAGUUACGCUGCGUUAUGUUACAUGUAUUAUUUAUUUAUAUUAUUUAUAUGUUUAGCUAAAGUUAAACCAGCCGAUGCCAGCUGUUUAAAAUAAUUGGCGACGCGCCUGCCACGGUAGCUCAAGGUGGUGUGGAAAACCGUGAAAAAAUUGUAUGAAAAAAAAAACGUUAUGGGUUUGGGUUGCUUUUUGUCUUCUUCAUUAAUCGGCAUCUUAGCCUUGCCCUUACAAAUUCCGUUAUCGAUAUAAUCGAUAACGCAUUCUCAUAACGGCUUAGUGGUGGUAGGAGGC